Molecule: long non-coding RNA, 1741 nt
Organism: Asparagus officinalis (garden asparagus)
Lineage: Eukaryota; Viridiplantae; Streptophyta; Magnoliopsida; Asparagales; Asparagaceae
Exons: 5
Source: RefSeq, a predicted model, not a curated record
AUAACGCCGAGAAGUCCUACUACAUCAUCACAGUGGCGAAGUUGAUCCGGUGGCCGGAGACGCACGUUCUUCUCUAUUAUACAGCUGCUCGGCACGGAAAUCGAGGAACCAUUAGAGAUGAGGAGAUUGGACUUCGGUGAUGAGGGGAGGCCGUCGAGUUUGAGAGGAGAUUUUAGGGGCUAGGGUUUGAAAUAAAUGGAGUGGGGGAACGGUGCUCUAGGAGCCUAAUCGGCACCUGGGUGCGAUGUUUUGGGCGGAGGAGCUUGAAGCCGACGACGGUUUGAGCUCAACACCCAAUUUUGUAUUUCGCGCGGUAUAUUUGCUUUGCUUAGUAGUUUCACAUGACAUACUAUAGCCCCAAACACUAUGACUGACAACCAAUAAUGAUAACACGAGAAGUACUUCGACGUAUAUACAUACGAUUUUCACAACACUAGUGUGUGAUGCUGACGAGACUCAGACUCGAUAACGCGAUUAGACUAGUGCCAUGUCAGCUGACCAGAGACAAGUUGUACGUACGCAAUGGUGAACGAUAAUAUGGGAAUGUCUGGCAUGUCUUCAGAGCAUGAUGAGUUCACAUGAAUGGAAGUGAAGAUAGGUCAAAUAGGUUGUGAAUGAUAGGAAUAGUGUGAUGGACGACUUGGGGAUGACAUGGGAAACCAAGGGGGUGAACUAUGUAAAUUGUUCUCGUAUUGAGACGCACCGAAACCAUGAAUACAUGCAUCGGAUUUUCUCUCACUCUUCUAUAGGUGGAGUUGUUGUUUCUGGGAUGGAUUUUUCCUAAAGAGUUUUAGACUUAUUUAUAGCAUCCGAGAAAUCACUAUUCAUAAUUUUUUUAAUAAUUUUUUUCUUCAAAACGGUGCCCAACUUUCGGUGAACGAUUUGAGUGGUGUGGCUCAUGCCCUUUUUCUCUUUCAAGAAUUUCGGCUGACAGAUUCACGAGAGGAGGUAGUGGUGGAGGUGGCGGAUUUGCCAGCAAGAGCGUUUCUGCUGUUCUUGCUUCAAGGAGGGAUAUCAUCCAUGAUUACUGUACAAAAUCCGGGCAUGUGCUGUGUGACUGUUGGAGGAGGCAGAGGUCACCGGGACUGCAUGACAGACUGUUGAACUAUGAAGAUCUUCACCAGACCAAUUUGGCAAAAUCAAGAGGCUCAUGAGCAGGCAAAUGCUACAACCAAUGCCAAUGGUGUAGAGGCGCUCUCGUACUAUGUUGAGAACAUUUUCAACACGGUAACUUGAUAGCGUUAUCAAAAUGAAGCCAGCCAUCCUAUAGCAAAUAUCCAACAUUUGCAACUGCUUCACGAGAAUUUAAUCAAGAACCUCCCAUCAGCAGCAUAAAGCAAUGCCUUUUAAAGCUAAGGAAAAAAGAAGCAGAAAAAAUAUCACUUGGCCCAGUUGUUCUAAGAUUGAGCUUUUGCCAACUUGCAUCGUUUUCUUGCUGACUUCAAUUUGUGGGUUUAUAAGAUUCACAUGUAGCAAAAAUUUUGGGGGAAAUGAUGCAAUGUCCUUUACAGCUCUCGAUCGCCAGCCUGGAGACUGGAUGGCUUCAUUAAGGAACCAAGUGGAUACUUAAAGUACAGAUUCACACAGAACCAAUGCUCAUAUAAAAGGUGGUGAUGUAGACAUCAAAAUAUGGAUGACAAAAGCCUUGCCCAAUUCUUCAACAUGUUCGAUGACAAGGUCCAAUCUUGCAACCAUUUCCACUAGCAAAGAAGCAAAGGCUGCAAAGGGCAGAGCCUCCGAG